Molecule: small nuclear RNA, 272 nt
Filed under: Cavia porcellus (domestic guinea pig)
Lineage: Eukaryota; Metazoa; Chordata; Mammalia; Rodentia; Caviidae
Description: 7SK RNA
Rfam family: 7SK RNA
About the family: 7SK was discovered as an abundant small nuclear RNA in the mid-70s but a possible function has only recently been suggested. Two independent studies have found that 7SK RNA binds the CDK9/cyclin T complex (known as elongation factor P-TEFb).
Source: Rfam by way of RNAcentral
AGGUAAACUAACCAUGACAUCUGUCACCCCACUGAUCGCCAGAGUUGAUUACGCUGAUCUGCCUGGUGAGUUGGGUGCUUCCUUCCUCUUUCAUCACUCCAGAGCUGCAUGCUUGGUGAAAGAGAAUGACCACCCCAAUAGAGGAGAAACAGUUCCUUGGUCAAGUGUAUACAAGAAAGCGCACUCUGUUGCUAAAACCGCAAAACAACCUCUCAGAGUCAUAUGUUGAAGCCCUAAUGCCCAAUGUGGCUAUAUUUAGAGGUAGGAGUUUU